RNAcentral lists this long non-coding RNA (499 nucleotides) under Rattus norvegicus (Norway rat). RNAcentral's name for it is "long non-coding RNA NONRATT014435". Lineage: Eukaryota; Metazoa; Chordata; Mammalia; Rodentia; Muridae. The record is from RNAcentral.
UGAGCUUCCGGAGUAGAUACUGGGAAUAGCACAAUGGUCCAGUAAAACAGUACUAGUGCUCUUGACCAUUGAACCAUCUGCCCAGACUCUCAACCUUUAUCUUAAUUACAAUAUUGAGGAAGUCUCAAGAACAAAAGCACCUUUCGGAAAAGUUAAUAAAUAUUUAAUUAAAUGUGAUAGCUUUAAAAAGUUAUAUGAGAUUCUUUUAAACCAACCUCUUAAUAAAAUCAUUAAAGGAUAUGAUGGUGCCCAAACUAAAUUACUGAGCUAUUACUGGGAUUUCGUCAAGACAAAGGUACUCAGCCUGAGGUCCUUGAAUGGUUUCUGCCUCAGCACUUUCUGAAGAUUGGUCAGAAAUGGAAAUGUGCAGUCUAGAGUCUCGGUGAUGUUUAGAAACCUGGUUGUAGCAAAUGCUCCAAGGGAGUUGUAGUUUGCAAGCCGCUGCCUUAGGCAACUUCUUAAUAUGAUGAAUGUAAAAAUGUUAAAAAAAAAAAAGAAA